This 504-nucleotide ribosomal RNA is filed under the name uncultured bacterium. RNAcentral describes it as "bacterial SSU rRNA". It matches the Rfam family "Bacterial small subunit ribosomal RNA", at positions 28 to 524 of the family's 1533-position model. The record is from RNAcentral.
GAUGAACGCUAGCGACAGGCUUAACACAUGCAAGUCGAGGGGCAGCAUAGAAGUAGCAAUACUUUGGUGGCGACCGGCGCACGGGUGAGUAACGCGUAUGCAACCUACCUAUCAGAGGGGAAUAACCCGGCGAAAGUCGGACUAAUACCGCAUAAAACAGGGGCACCGCAUGGUGAUAUUUGUUAAAGAAAUUCGCUGAUAGAUGGGCAUGCGUUCCAUUAGGUAGUUGGUGAGGUAACGGCUCACCAAGCCGACGAUGGAUAGGGGAACUGAGAGGUUGGUCCCCCACACUGGUACUGAGACACGGACCAGACUCCUACGGGAGGCAGCAGUGAGGAAUAUUGGUCAAUGGGCGGGAGCCUGAACCAGCCAAGUCGCGUGAAGGAAGAAGGAUCUAUGGUUCGUAAACUUCUUUUGCAGGGGAAUAAAGUGCAGGACGUGUCCUGUUUUGUAUGUACCCUGAGAAUAAGGAUCGGCUAACUCCGUGCCAGCAGCCGCGGUAAA